ACGAACGCUGGCGGCGUGGAUAAGGCAUGCAAGUCGAACGGAUCUCAUUUGCGAUUACAUCAAGAAUGAGAUUAGUGGCGAACGGGGUAGUAACACGUGGGUACUUCCCCUGAAGACGGGAAUAAUUCAUCGAAAGGUGGACUAAUACCCGAUGGUCCCGAAAGGGUAAACGGAGUAAUCCGCUUCAGGAAAGGCCUGCGGGCUAUCAGCUAGUUGGUAGGGUAACGGCCUACCAAGGCUAUGACGGCUAGGGGGCGUGAGAGCGUGAUCCCCACCAAUGGUACUGCGACACGGACCAUACACCUACGGGUGGCUGCAGUCGAGAAUCUUCCACAAUGGACGAUAGUCUGAUGGAGCGACGCCGCGUGCAGGAAGAAGCUCUUCGGGACGUAAACUGCUUUUAUAGGGGAGAAAGCCGGGUUAUACCGGAUUGAUAGUACUCUAUGAAUAAGGGCCUGCUAAUCUCGU
Molecule: ribosomal RNA, 468 nt
Filed under: uncultured bacterium
Lineage: Bacteria
Description: bacterial SSU rRNA
Rfam family: Bacterial small subunit ribosomal RNA
Source: RNAcentral